GGGGGGAGAGUAUGAGGGAUUUGAGAGUAUGAGCGGAAGGAAUAUAGACUAUUUAUUAACAGAAGGAAAAAGUUACAAAAGAGAAAACUAAAAAGUAAAGUAUUUGGUAAUUUACAAGAUGUCUAUACAAUUGAGCUUUCCUCCUUAUUUAUAGAGGAAUUCUAAAAAUUCUAUACAAUUGUAUUUUGAAUCCCGAACAGUGUUUCUGAUAAGGACUCGGCUUCUUUGUGGAUGUGUUUGCUUCCACGUUUCAUGUCUUUUUGCAUGGCUAUGGUUGCUUCCAUGUGUCAUGCUUGCAUUUAUGACCGCUGUUGUCACUGCUUGUGUCACAGCUGCUUUUGUCACCUCUUACAUCAUCAUUGUUUUGAUGAUAGAUUUUCUUGAUGUAUGACUUUUUGUCUUCAUCUAGAUGUCUUUAUCAAGCAUUAAUAUUGCUUCCAUCUUGCUUGCAUCAUCAAUCCAUUUUGAUGUGAUUUAUCAUUAAUGGUUGCUUCCAUCAUAAUUCAUCCCUCAAGAUGAUGAAUGGUAGAUAUAUCUUGAUGACAAUUUUCCCAUGUACUUCUGAUUUGUUGCAGAAUGUUAGAUGGAAAAUCUUCUAUGUUCAUAUCUGCUAUCUUUUUUAGCAGAUUGAUGCCUUCAUCACUUUGUUCAAUAAGAUAUGAAUGAUAUGCUAAUAUUCUUCUUCCAUCUGUUCUGAAUUGAUAAUUUCUUUCUUGAAGAAGAUAUUUAGCUUUAGCCAUUAAAUCAACACCGGCUUGGAUUUGAUAAUAGCUUAAAUUUUCUUGACACUUGUCAAUUGUUUUUGCCAAGUAUUCUUUAUCUUUAUUUACAGCUGAUAGUCGGGGGCUUCCGAGCAUUCUGCGAAUUUCUCAUAUUUGAUAUGGCUGAAAAAAUCUUUCUUUUUCAGAAAUACCAAUAAGAGUACUUAUUUGAAUAUAAAAAUAAUAGAAAAAGUCAUCAUUUUUUAUGAUGGUUUGUAGUAAAGAUUUGACAAGUGCUGGAAAAUCUUUUAAAAGGUGAAAAGAAAGAUUUUGUACUACUAUUUCUCUAACAAAACCCC
This 1060-nucleotide long non-coding RNA is filed under the name Gossypium raimondii (Peruvian cotton). Its description in RNAcentral is "long non-coding RNA (GRAI_LNC008646)". Lineage: Eukaryota; Viridiplantae; Streptophyta; Magnoliopsida; Malvales; Malvaceae. The record is from RNAcentral.